RNAcentral lists this long non-coding RNA (428 nucleotides) under Actinidia chinensis (golden kiwifruit). Its description in RNAcentral is "long non-coding RNA (ACHI_LNC002125)". The record is from RNAcentral. Lineage: Eukaryota; Viridiplantae; Streptophyta; Magnoliopsida; Ericales; Actinidiaceae.
AAAAGCUAACAAAUUCAGGUAAAUCCAACAACUGAACCAGCAUCAAUUUGGGUAGAGCCUCGUAUUCAACAUUUUCAUCCUCUGAAAGCAUCCCCUCCAGUCCAGAACAACUAAUGAUGUCCAACAAUUUUAAGUUGGAUAGUUGCUGAAUCAUGAAUCGGCUUGAGAAGACAUGCUUAAUCAUUGGGCAAUGAUUUAGUAUCAAUACCGUCAGAUUGGUAAAGCUGUUUGCAACUAGUGACGGUGGUGGUGGUAGAGAUCCCUCCAUCUGAUGAGUGCACUUCAAAUUCCUCAGAUGAAGCAAUUUAAAAAAUUUUAAAUUCCGAAAAGCAUCCAAAAUUUAAAACACAUAUAGAAACCAAACGAAACCAAGCAAAAGAAACACAAAAUUACCUUCUGCCAUGAGAAAGUCAAUAAGGUGCUAUUUC